GUGUGUGUGUGUGUGUGUGUGUGUGUGUGUGUGUCAGCUCACAGUCCAGUCCAAAGUGCUGCGGAUGAGAGCCUCUGGGUCGGUUCUGUUCAGGGACGACGUGCUGGGCUGGCAGGGCAGGGUGUGCAGGCCCGACUUAGCUAUGGCUUUCCUGGAAACACAAAGAGACGCACAACUGUGAAUGCUCCUAGGUCUUCAUGGAAAUGUGUCCUGCGCUCGUUCAUCACUCCCUUCCUCUCGAUCGGACUCCGAACAGGAAGAGGUGUCUACUCCCUCUUCAUCUUCCUUCUCUUCUCUACCCAUCUGGACUACACUCGCAAGUAACAUGGAGGAUCCAAGUAAAUGAGAUUCAAUAGAUUUUAUUCUAGAAGGACGUCGAUAUCGCAGUGCCAUCCCACGUUCUAUGCCACCAUGAGCAUGGUGAGGUUUAUACUGAAACCCCCGCCUUCCUCUCAUGAUGACUCCAUCUGCCCUCUCGGUUCCUCUCUCAGAUCCUCCCUCUGCUUCACUUGUGUUUGUUUUACCUACCUCUAUAAUGGACUGCCGCCUCUGUCCACUAGCCACCAAUAAACCCACACUGGGGCGCCGGCGCUGCUCAGCACAGACCGGAGGUAGGCCCACCGAGGAGCGUCUGGACUGAACCAGCGCCGCAGAGGGCAGACCCACACUAGAGCGCCUCCUGGCUUUACUGGUCUGAAGAGCAACGCCAUGCUUCGGUUUCUUCUGACGGUAACGGAAGAAGAAAUCCAUCAUGUCUGCAGAUAUGGAAGGUGCUAAAAAUGAUACCUGGCAUCUAAAAAUCUGUACUCAGUUAAAGGACAUAGCAUCGCCUUUCCCCUUCCCUCUUCUGAUGAUGCUUUAAGAUCCCAACAACAGAAGACUGUAUCCAUGAUAGUUGAUGAGCUCUUGUCUUUUGUUCCAGUCCUCCUUUAGAAAUGCUGAAGGGACAAACAGGCCUUUCUGUUUAAAAGAUGUUCCCUAAAUGGCAUUGUCAAUUUAUUCAACAAACUUUACUGAUACAAGCCCUUUCUUACAAAGGAUGAUGAUGAAAUAGCUGAAAGGUAAACGUACUAAGAGCCUACAAAGACUGUUAGAGCAUUUGUCACAUGCCCAAUAGAUUAUCUAUAGAGGGCAUGUGACCAUUCAUGAACAUGUCUAUAAACACUUAGCACAUUUUAGUUGAACCAUUAAAGUGUUUCCAUUACAAAA
Eleginops maclovinus (Patagonian blennie) is the source of this 1209-nucleotide long non-coding RNA. RefSeq lists it as uncharacterized. The record is from RefSeq and is a predicted model, not a curated record. The transcript is spliced from 2 exons. NCBI's taxonomy places the organism in Eukaryota, Metazoa, Chordata, Actinopteri, Perciformes, Eleginopidae.